GAGGAAUAUUGGUCAAUGGGCGGGAGCCUGAACCAGCCAAGUCGCGUGAAGGAAGAAGGAUCUAUGGUUCGUAAACUUCUUUUGCAGGGGGAUAAAGUGCAGGACGUGUCCUGUUUUGUAUGUACCCUGAGAAUAAGGAUCGGCUAACUCCGUGCCAGCAGCCGCGGUAAUACGGAGGAUCCGAGCGUUAUCCGGAUUUAUUGGGUUUAAAGGGUGCGUAGGUGGUUUGAUAAGUCAGCGGUGAAAGUUUGCAGCUUAACUGUAAAAAUGCCGUUGAAACUGUCGGACUUGAGUGUAAAUGAGGUAGGCGGAAUGCGUGGUGUAGCGGUGAAAUGCAUAGAUAUCACGCAGAACUCCGAUUGCGAAGGCAGCUUACUAAGCUACAACUGACACUGAAGCACGAAAGCGUGGGGAUCAAACA
Molecule: ribosomal RNA, 421 nt
Filed under: uncultured bacterium
Lineage: Bacteria
Description: bacterial SSU rRNA
Rfam family: Bacterial small subunit ribosomal RNA
Source: RNAcentral